RNAcentral lists this ribosomal RNA (255 nucleotides) under uncultured bacterium. RNAcentral describes it as "partial 16S ribosomal RNA". It matches the Rfam family "Bacterial small subunit ribosomal RNA", at positions 524 to 776 of the family's 1533-position model. The record is from RNAcentral.
UACGGGGGGGAGCAAGCGUUGUUCGGAUUUACUGGGCGUAAAGGGCGCGUAGGCGGUCGUGACAAGUCACUUGUGAAAUCUCCGGGCUUAACUCGGAACGGUCAAGUGAUACUGUCGGACUAGAGUACAGAAGGGGCAACUGGAAUUCUCGGUGUAGCGGUGAAAUGCGUAGAUAUCGAGAGGAACACCUGCGGCGAAGGCGGGUUGCUGGGACGGUACUGACGCUGAGACGCGAAAGCGUGGGGAGCGAACAGG